AUUGAACGCUGGCGGCAUGCCUUACACAUGCAAGUCGAACGGCAGCACGGGGCAACCUGGUGGCGAGUGGCGAACGGGUGAGUAAUGCAUCGGAACGUGCCAUUGAGUGGGGGAUAACGUAGCGAAAGUUGCGCUAAUACCGCAUAUUCUGUGAGCAGGAAAGCAGGGGACCGCAAGGCCUUGCGCUCUUUGAGCGGCCGAUGUCAGAUUAGCUAGUUGGUGAGGUAACGGCUUACCAAGGCGACGAUCUGUAGCGGGUCCGAGAGGAUGAUCCGCCACACUGGAACUGAGACACGGUCCAGACUCCUACGGGAGGCAGCAGUGGGGAAUUUUGGACAAUGGGCGCAAGCCUGAUCCAGCCAUGCCGCGUGAGUGAAGAAGGCCUCGGUUGU
RNAcentral lists this ribosomal RNA (392 nucleotides) under uncultured bacterium. RNAcentral describes it as "bacterial SSU rRNA". It matches the Rfam family "Bacterial small subunit ribosomal RNA", at positions 30 to 426 of the family's 1533-position model. The record is from RNAcentral.